Molecule: ribosomal RNA, 518 nt
Filed under: uncultured bacterium
Lineage: Bacteria
Description: partial 16S ribosomal RNA
Rfam family: Bacterial small subunit ribosomal RNA
Source: RNAcentral
GACGAACGCUGGCGGCGUGCAUAACACAUGCAAGUGGAGCGACCGGUGAAACCUUUGGGUUUCAACUCAAACCGGGAGCCGCGAACGGGUGAGUAACACGUGGGCAAUCUGCCCCGUCGAUUGGGAUAGCCCGGGGAAACCCGGAUUAAUACCGAAUGUGAUCGCCUCCCUGGGGGGAGGUGAGGAAAGGAAGCUUCGGCCUCCGCGACGGGAUGAGCCCGCGACCGAUUAGCUUGUUGGUAAGGUAACGGCUUACCAAGGCGACGAUCGGUAGCUGGUCUGAGAGGACGAUCAGCCACACUGGGACUGAGACACGGCCCAGACUCCUACGGGAGGCUGCAGUGGGGAAUCUUGCGCAAUGAGCGAAAGCUUGACGCAGCAACGCCGCGUGAGGGAAGACGGCCUUCGGGUUGUAAACCUCUUUCAGGGAAGAGUAAGGCUCGUGAGUUAAGAGCUCACCGGGUUGAAGGUAUUCCCAGAAGAAGCACCGGCUAACUACGUGCCAGCCGCCGCUGUAA